Molecule: ribosomal RNA, 277 nt
Filed under: Salmonella enterica subsp. enterica serovar Dublin
Lineage: Bacteria; Pseudomonadati; Pseudomonadota; Gammaproteobacteria; Enterobacterales; Enterobacteriaceae
Description: partial 23S ribosomal RNA
Rfam family: Bacterial large subunit ribosomal RNA
Source: RNAcentral
CCGUGAGGGAAAGGCGAAAAGAACCCCGGCGAGGGGAGUGAAAAAGAACCUGAAACCGUGUACGUACAAGCAGUGGGAGCCCCACCACUAAGCCAGUGGUGAACUCCACAUACGCAUCCUUUGCUGAGGAUACGGUUAACGGAGCGAAAGCGACGUUCAACCGCAAAAGAAGCAGAGGGGGCUUAGUGGUGGGGUGACUGCGUACCUUUUGUAUAAUGGGUCAGCGACUUAUAUUCUGUAGCAAGGUUAACCGAAUAGGGGAGCCGGAGGGAAACCG